GACGGAGGGUGCGAGCGUUAUUCGGAAUCACUGGGCGUAAAGGGCGCGUAGGCGGCUUGGUAAGUCAGGGGUGAAAGCUCGUCGCUCAACGACAGAACGGCCUUCGAGACUGCGCGGCUUGAGAGUAGGUGAGGUGGGUGGAAUGCCACAUGUAGCGGUGAAAUGCGUAGAUAUGUGGUGGAACACCGGUUGCGAAAGCAGCUCGCUGGCCUGGUUUUGACGCUGAGGCGCGAAAGCGUGGGGAGCAAACAGG
This 253-nucleotide ribosomal RNA is filed under the name uncultured bacterium. RNAcentral's name for it is "partial 16S ribosomal RNA". It matches the Rfam family "Bacterial small subunit ribosomal RNA", at positions 524 to 776 of the family's 1533-position model. The record is from RNAcentral.